Molecule: non-coding RNA, 866 nt
Organism: Pogona vitticeps (central bearded dragon)
Lineage: Eukaryota; Metazoa; Chordata; Lepidosauria; Squamata; Agamidae
Source: RefSeq, a predicted model, not a curated record
AGUGAAGACGUGUGGCUGUGCCUCUGGUUCCAUUCCUCUCCCCUUUCUCUAAUUAUGAGAGUGAGACACAGGCUGGGUGGAUCCAGUGGGAAGAAACUCUGGUUUUGCAAGGUGCCUAGCAUGGCUGGAGGGAUCUUUCCCCAGUCUCAGACCUUACGGGUGGGAGGCCCUAGAAGGUUGCCUGUCCCUUGGUGGGACAAGAGGUCUCUCUAGACACCACCCACAGUGCUACAGGUGCUUCAGAACAAGGCAUUUCAGGCUGGGAAAGAUCUGAGGAACGUUGUGCUCUUUCCUUGCUGGGAGACAGGUGCUGAAUUUCAGGGAGGAGUGACAGACCAUUCUCACCCCAACCCCUUUGGUCUCCCCGCCCCACAUCCAUCAUCUCACCAGGAGAUGCCAACCACUACAGAGUGUUGUUGAUUAAUGUGGUUGCCAUUCCUUCUCCAUGUGUGAGACCCUGUGUGCAGUUGUCCUUCAAGAAAAUUCUGCCCUGAAUAUUUUGGCCUUUCCUUCUUGUAUUGCUUUGCUUGUCAUUCCAGGUGAGUCAAGAUCAGAAGCUCUACAAGUGUGGUUUAUUCCCUAUGUGUGUGGCAAACAAACAAAAAGCCUCCAGAAAUGUGUAGCCCGGCAUCUUACUAAAGGACAGAAGGGUCUUUCAGGAAAUAUGUCUGAUUUCAUGCCCUCCCGCUGGCUCUCCAGUGAUUAUGAAGGAAACAAGGAGAUAGUCCUUGAUGUCUAUCUGAACAAGAACAGGGAUCAGGAGGAACUGCGCUUCAGAAACCUGGAAGAGAUUUUUAAUUAUCUGAAUGAGCUAGAUGAAGAGACAUGGGACCUUCACCUCGAAGGCCAUUCUAAGUCAGCACCAG